Molecule: long non-coding RNA, 13322 nt
Organism: Anopheles gambiae (African malaria mosquito)
Lineage: Eukaryota; Metazoa; Arthropoda; Insecta; Diptera; Culicidae
Exons: 3
Source: RefSeq, a predicted model, not a curated record
UUUACGGCACGAGCCGGUAUUAGCGAAUCCGUCUCGCAGUGGACUGUACCAAAGUAGAGGAAUGUGCCUCGCCAGGGUGCUGAUGGUACGUUUAGUCCACUGGCAAAAUCCGAUCCCUGCCUCCUCGUGGCGCUGCCGGAUGUCGGUUUUGAUGAGCUUUGUCCGCUCGUUGAAGCCUAACCAAAGGGACGGUGCUGCUUUCCAAGGAAGGUGUACCAAAAGAAAGCAGCUGGAGCGAUGUUCGAACACAGCAUCCUUUAGGGAAUAGUCAGCUGUUUUCUGUAAACAGGUAUGAAAUGAUUCGUUCAUAAAGGUUUAAGCGAUCGUAACGACAGGUAUCGGUAUUGGAUGUUUGGGACCAGUGCUUUGUUCCUGGAUCGUAACAUGAGUAGGAAGGGGGCUGCCCAAGAGCCCCAGAGAAUGCUGUGAGGUGGGCAUCGGUACUGGUAGCUUGGAACCGGUACUAUUGGCUCAAUCACAAGCGCUCAACAGUGUGAGGGACGUCCAAGCGUCCUGGAGGGGACUGUGGGAUGAUCUUGAGCCCGGAACGAGACUGGGAAUCUCGGAGUACGGGCUUGAGAAAGGUUUGUUCACAAAUGUCCCAGAGAUAGUUAGACCGGGUAUCGGUAUUGGAUGUUUGGGACCAGUGCUUUGUUCCUGGAUCGUAACAUGAGUAGGAAGGGGGCUGCCCAAGAGCCCCAGAGAAUGCUGUGAGGUGGGCAUCGGUACUGGUAGCUUGGAACCGGUACUAUUGGCCCAAUCACAAGCGCUCAACUGUGGUGGAGGACGUCCAAGCGUCCUGGAGGGGACUGUGGAUGAUCUUGAGCCCGGAACGAGACUGGGAAUCUCGGAGUACGGGCUUGAGAAAGGUUUGAUCACAAAUGUCCCGUAGAUAGUUAGACCGGGUAUCGGUAUUGGAUGUUUGGGACCAGUACUUUGUUCCUGGAUCGUAACACGAGUAGGAAGGGGGCUGCCCAAGAGCCCCAGAGAAUGCUGUGAGGUGGGCAUCGGUACUGGUAGCUUGGAACCGGUACUAUUGGCCCAAUCACAAGCGCUCAACUGUGGUGAGGGACGUCCAAGCGUCCUGGAGGGGACUGUGGGAUGAUCUUGAGCCCGGAACGAGACUGGGAAUCUCGGAGUACGGGCUUGAGAAAGGUUUGAUCACAAAUGUCCCAGAGAUAGUUAGACCGGGUAUCGGUAUUGGAUGUUUGGGACCAGUGCUUUGUUCCUGGAUCGUAACACGAGUAGGAAGGGGGCUGCCCAAGAGCCCCAGAGAAUGCUGUGAGGUGGGCAUCGGUACUGGUAGCUUGGAACCGGUACUAUUGGCCCAAUCACAAGCGCUCAACUGUGGUGGAGGACGUCCAAGCGUCCUGGAGGGGACUGUGGAUGAUCUUGAGCCCGGAACGAGACUGGGAAUCUCGGAGUACGGGCUUGAGAAAGGUUUGAUCACAAAUGUCCCGUAGAUAGUUAGACCGGGUAUCGGUAUUGGAUGUUUGGGACCAGUACUUUGUUCCUGGAUCGUAACACGAGUAGGAAGGGGGCUGCCCAAGAGCCCCAGAGAAUGCUGUGAGGUGGGCAUCGGUACUGGUAGCUUGGAACCGGUACUAUUGGCCCAAUCACAAGCGCUCAACUGUGGUGAGGGACGUCCAAGCGUCCUGGAGGGGACUGUGGAUGAUCUUGAGCCCGGAACGAGACUGGGAAUCUCGGAGUACGGGCUUGAGAAAGGUUUGAUCACAAAUGUCCCAGAGAUAGUUAGACCGGGUAUCGGUAUUGGAUGUUUGGGACCAGUGCUUUGUUCCUGGAUCGUAACACGAGUAGGAAGGGGGCUGCCCAAGAGCCCCAGAGAAUGCUGUGAGGUGGGCAUCGGUACUGGUAGCUUGGAACCGGUACUAUUGGCCCAAUCACAAGCGCUCAACUGUGGUGAGGGACGUCCAAGCGUCCUGGAGGGGACUGUGGGAUGAUCUUGAGCCCGGAACGAGACUGGGAAUCUCGGAGUACGGGCUUGAGAAAGGUUUGAUCACAAAUGUCCCAGAGAUAGUUAGACCAGGUAUCGGUAUUGGAUGUUUGGGACCAGUGCUUUGUUCCUGGAUCGUAACACGAGUAGGAAGGGGGCUGCCCAAGAGCCCCAGAGAAUGCUGUGAGGUGGGCAUCGGUACUGGUAGCUUGGAACCGGUACUAUUGGCCCAAUCACAAGCGCUCAACUGUGGUGAGGGACGUCCAAGCGUCCUGGAGGGGACUGUGGGAUGAUCUUGAGCCCGGAACGAGACUGGGAAUCUCGGAGUACGGGCUUGAGAAAGGUUUGAUCACAAAUGUCCCAGAGAUAGUUAGACCAGGUAUCGGUAUUGGAUGUUUGGGACCAGUGCUUUGUUCCUGGAUCGUAACACGAGUAGGAAGGGGGCUGCCCAAGAGCUCCAGAGAAUGCGGUGAGGCGGGCAUCGGUACUGGUAGCUUGGAACCGGUACUAUUGGCCCAAUCACAAGCGCUCAACUGUGGUGAGGGACGUCCAAGCGUCCUGGAGGGGACUGUGGGAUGAUCUUGAGCCCGGAACGAGACUGGGAAUCUCGGAGUACGGGCUUGAGAAAGGUUUGAUCACAAAUGUCCAAGAGAUAGUUAGACCAGGUUUCGGUAUUGGAUGUUUGGGACCAGUGCUUUGUUCCUGGAUCGUAACACGAGUAGGAAGGGGGGCUGCCCAAGAGCCCCAGAGAAUGCUGUGAGGUGGGCAUCGGUACUGGUAGCUUGGAACCGGUACUAUUGGCCCAAUCACAAGCGCUCAACUGUGGUGAGGGACGUCCAAGCGUCCUGGAGGGGACUGUGGGAUGAUCUUGAGCCCGGAACGAGACUGGGAAUCUCGGAGUACGGGCUUGAGAAAGGUUUGAUCACAAAUGUCCCAGAGAUAGUUAGACCAGGUAUCGGUAUUGGAUGUUUGGGACCAGUGCUUUGUUCCUGGAUCGUAACACGAGUAGGAAGGGGGCUGCCCAAGAGCCCCAGAGAAUGCUGUGAGGUGGGCAUCGGUACUGGUAGCUUGGAACCGGUACUAUUGGCCCAAUCACAAGCGCUCAACUGUGGUGAGGGACGUCCAAGCGUCCUGGAGGGGACUGUGGAUGAUCUUGAGCCCAGAACGAGACUGGGAAUCUCGGAGUACGGGCUUGAGAAAGGUUUGAUCACAAAUGUCCCAGAGAUAGUUAGACCAGGUAUCGGUAUUGGAUGUUUGGGACCAGUGCUUUGUUCCUGGAUCGUAACACGAGUAGGAAGGGGGCUGCCCAAGAGCCCCAGAGAAUGCUGUGAGGUGGGCAUCGGUACUGGUAGCUUGGAACCGGUACUAUUGGCCCAAUCACAAGCGCUCAACUGUGGUGAGGGACGUCCAAGCGUCCUGGAGGGGACUGUGGGAUGAUCUUGAGCCCGGAACGAGACUGGGAAUCUCGGAGUACGGGCUUGAGAAAGGUUUGUUCACAAAUGUCCCGUAGAUAGUUAGACCGGGUAUCGGUAUUGGAUGUUUGGGACCAGUGCUUUGUUCCUGGAUCGUAACACGAGUAGGAAGGGGGCUGCCCAAGAGCCCCAGAGAAUGCUGUGAGGUGGGCAUCGGUACUGGUAGCUUGGAACCGGUACUAUUGGCCCAAUCACAAGCGCUCAACUGUGGUGGAGGACGUCCAAGCGUCCUGGAGGGGACUGUGGGAUGAUCUUGAGCCCGGAACGAGACUGGGAAUCUCGGAGUACGGGCUUGAGAAAGGUUUGAUCACAAAUGUCCCAGAGAUAGUUAGACCGGGUAUCGGUAUUGGAUGUUUGGGACCAGUGCUUUGUUCCUGGAUCGUAAUAUGAGUAGGAAGGGGGCUGCCCAAGAGCCCCAGAGAAUGCUGUGAGGUGGGCAUCGGUACUGGUAGCUUGGAACCGGUACUAUUGGCCCAAUCACAAGCGCUCAACUGUGGUGGAGGACGUCCAAGCGUCCUGGAGGGGACUGUGGAUGAUCUUGAGCCCGGAACGAGACUGGGAAUCUCGGAGUACGGGCUUGAGAAAGGUUUGAUCACAAAUGUCCCGUAGAUAGUUAGACCGGGUAUCGGUAUUGGAUGUUUGGGACCAGUACUUUGUUCCUGGAUCGUAACACGAGUAGGAAGGGGGCUGCCCAAGAGCCCCAGAGAAUGCUGUGAGGUGGGCAUCGGUACUGGUAGCUUGGAACCGGUACUAUUGGCCCAAUCACAAGCGCUCAACUGUGGUGGAGGACGUCCAAGCGUCCUGGAGGGGACUGUGGGAUGAUCUUGAGCCCGGAACGAGACUGGGAAUCUCGGAGUACGGGCUUGAGAAAGGUUUGAUCACAAAUGUCCCGUAGAUAGUUAGACCGGGUAUCGGUAUUGGAUGUUUGGGACCAGUACUUUGUUCCUGGAUCGUAACACGAGUAGGAAGGGGGGCUGCCCAAGAGCCCCAGAGAAUGCUGUGAGGUGGGCAUCGGUACUGGUAGCUUGGAACCGGUACUAUUGGCCCAAUCACAAGCGCUCAACUGUGGUGGAGGACGUCCAAGCGUCCUGGAGGGGACUGUGGGAUGAUCUUGAGCCCGGAACGAGACUGGGAAUCUCGGAGUACGGGCUUGAGAAAGGUUUGAUCACAAAUGUCCCAGAGAUAGUUAGACCGGGUAUCGGUAUUGGAUGUUUGGGACCAGUGCUUUGUUCCUGGAUCGUAACACGAGUAGGAAGGGGGCUGCCCAAGAGCCCCAGAGAAUGCUGUGAGGUGGGCAUCGGUACUGGUAGCUUGGAACCGGUACUAUUGGCCCAAUCACAAGCGCUCAACUGUGGUGAGGGACGUCCAAGCGUCCUGGAGGGGACUGUGGAUGAUCUUGAGCCCAGAACGAGACUGGGAAUCUCGGAGUACGGGCUUGAGAAAGGUUUGAUCACAAAUGUCCCAGAGAUAGUUAGACCAGGUAUCGGUAUUGGAUGUUUGGGACCAGUGCUUUGUUCCUGGAUCGUAACACGAGUAGGAAGGGGGCUGCCCAAGAGCCCCAGAGAAUGCUGUGAGGUGGGCAUCGGUACUGGUAGCUUGGAACCGGUACUAUUGGCCCAAUCACAAGCGCUCAACUGUGGUGGAGGACGUCCAAGCGUCCUGGAGGGGACUGUGGGAUGAUCUUGAGCCCAGAACGAGACUGGGAAUCUCGGAGUACGGGCUUGAGAAAGGUUUGAUCACAAAUGUCCCAGAGAUAGUUAGACCAGGUAUCGGUAUUGGAUGUUUGGGACCAGUGCUUUGUUCCUGGAUCGUAACAUGAGUAGGAAGGGGGCUGCCCAAGAGCCCCAGAGAAUGCUGUGAGGUGGGCAUCGGUACUGGUAGCUUGGAACCGGUACUAUUGGCUCAAUCACAAGCGCUCAACAGUGUGAGGGACGUCCAAGCGUCCUGGAGGGGACUGUGGGAUGAUCUUGAGCCCGGAACGAGACUGGGAAUCUCGGAGUACGGGCUUGAGAAAGGUUUGUUCACAAAUGUCCCAGAGAUAGUUAGACCGGGUAUCGGUAUUGGAUGUUUGGGACCAGUGCUUUGUUCCUGGAUCGUAACAUGAGUAGGAAGGGGGCUGCCCAAGAGCCCCAGAGAAUGCUGUGAGGUGGGCAUCGGUACUGGUAGCUUGGAACCGGUACUAUUGGCCCAAUCACAAGCGCUCAACUGUGGUGGAGGACGUCCAAGCGUCCUGGAGGGGACUGUGGAUGAUCUUGAGCCCGGAACGAGACUGGGAAUCUCGGAGUACGGGCUUGAGAAAGGUUUGAUCACAAAUGUCCCAGAGAUAGUUAGACCGGGUAUCGGUAUUGGAUGUUUGGGACCAGUGCUUUGUUCCUGGAUCGUAACACGAGUAGGAAGGGGGCUGCCCAAGAGCCCCAGAGAAUGCUGUGAGGUGGGCAUCGGUACUGGUAGCUUGGAACCGGUACUAUUGGCCCAAUCACAAGCGCUCAACUGUGGUGAGGGACGUCCAAGCGUCCUGGAGGGGACUGUGGGAUGAUCUUGAGCCCGGAACGAGACUGGGAAUCUCGGAGUACGGGCUUGAGAAAGGUUUGAUCACAAAUGUCCCAGAGAUAGUUAGACCAGGUAUCGGUAUUGGAUGUUUGGGACCAGUGCUUUGUUCCUGGAUCGUAACACGAGUAGGAAGGGGGCUGCCCAAGAGCCCCAGAGAAUGCUGUGAGGUGGGCAUCGGUACUGGUAGCUUGGAACCGGUACUAUUGGCCCAAUCACAAGCGCUCAACUGUGGUGAGGGACGUCCAAGCGUCCUGGAGGGGACUGUGGGAUGAUCUUGAGCCCGGAACGAGACUGGGAAUCUCGGAGUACGGGCUUGAGAAAGGUUUGAUCACAAAUGUCCCAGAGAUAGUUAGACCAGGUAUCGGUAUUGGAUGUUUGGGACCAGUGCUUUGUUCCUGGAUCGUAACACGAGUAGGAAGGGGGCUGCCCAAGAGCUCCAGAGAAUGCGGUGAGGCGGGCAUCGGUACUGGUAGCUUGGAACCGGUACUAUUGGCCCAAUCACAAGCGCUCAACUGUGGUGAGGGACGUCCAAGCGUCCUGGAGGGGACUGUGGGAUGAUCUUGAGCCCGGAACGAGACUGGGAAUCUCGGAGUACGGGCUUGAGAAAGGUUUGAUCACAAAUGUCCAAGAGAUAGUUAGACCAGGUUUCGGUAUUGGAUGUUUGGGACCAGUGCUUUGUUCCUGGAUCGUAACACGAGUAGGAAGGGGGGCUGCCCAAGAGCCCCAGAGAAUGCUGUGAGGUGGGCAUCGGUACUGGUAGCUUGGAACCGGUACUAUUGGCCCAAUCACAAGCGCUCAACUGUGGUGAGGGACGUCCAAGCGUCCUGGAGGGGACUGUGGGAUGAUCUUGAGCCCGGAACGAGACUGGGAAUCUCGGAGUACGGGCUUGAGAAAGGUUUGAUCACAAAUGUCCCAGAGAUAGUUAGACCAGGUAUCGGUAUUGGAUGUUUGGGACCAGUGCUUUGUUCCUGGAUCGUAACACGAGUAGGAAGGGGGCUGCCCAAGAGCCCCAGAGAAUGCUGUGAGGUGGGCAUCGGUACUGGUAGCUUGGAACCGGUACUAUUGGCCCAAUCACAAGCGCUCAACUGUGGUGAGGGACGUCCAAGCGUCCUGGAGGGGACUGUGGAUGAUCUUGAGCCCAGAACGAGACUGGGAAUCUCGGAGUACGGGCUUGAGAAAGGUUUGAUCACAAAUGUCCCAGAGAUAGUUAGACCAGGUAUCGGUAUUGGAUGUUUGGGACCAGUGCUUUGUUCCUGGAUCGUAACACGAGUAGGAAGGGGGCUGCCCAAGAGCCCCAGAGAAUGCUGUGAGGUGGGCAUCGGUACUGGUAGCUUGGAACCGGUACUAUUGGCCCAAUCACAAGCGCUCAACUGUGGUGAGGGACGUCCAAGCGUCCUGGAGGGGACUGUGGGAUGAUCUUGAGCCCGGAACGAGACUGGGAAUCUCGGAGUACGGGCUUGAGAAAGGUUUGUUCACAAAUGUCCCGUAGAUAGUUAGACCGGGUAUCGGUAUUGGAUGUUUGGGACCAGUGCUUUGUUCCUGGAUCGUAACACGAGUAGGAAGGGGGCUGCCCAAGAGCCCCAGAGAAUGCUGUGAGGUGGGCAUCGGUACUGGUAGCUUGGAACCGGUACUAUUGGCCCAAUCACAAGCGCUCAACUGUGGUGGAGGACGUCCAAGCGUCCUGGAGGGGACUGUGGGAUGAUCUUGAGCCCGGAACGAGACUGGGAAUCUCGGAGUACGGGCUUGAGAAAGGUUUGAUCACAAAUGUCCCAGAGAUAGUUAGACCAGGUAUCGGUAUUGGAUGUUUGGGACCAGUGCUUUGUUCCUGGAUCGUAACACGAGUAGGAAGGGGGCUGCCCAAGAGCCCCAGAGAAUGCUGUGAGGUGGGCAUCGGUACUGGUAGCUUGGAACCGGUACUAUUGGCCCAAUCACAAGCGCUCAACUGUGGUGAGGGACGUCCAAGCGUCCUGGAGGGGACUGUGGGAUGAUCUUGAGCCCGGAACGAGACUGGGAAUCUCGGAGUACGGGCUUGAGAAAGGUUUGAUCACAAAUGUCCCAGAGAUAGUUAGACCGGGUAUCGGUAUUGGAUGUUUGGGACCAGUGCUUUGUUCCUGGAUCGCAACAUGAGUAGGAAGGGGGCUGCCCAAGAGCCCCAGAGAAUGCUGUGAGGUGGGCAUCGGUACUGGUAGCUUGGAACCGGUACUAUUGGCCCAAUCACAAGCGCUCAACUGUGGUGGAGGACGUCCAAGCGUCCUGGAGGGGACUGUGGAUGAUCUUGAGCCCGGAACGAGACUGGGAAUCUCGGAGUACGGGCUUGAGAAAGGUUUGAUCACAAAUGUCCCGUAGAUAGUUAGACCGGGUAUCGGUAUUGGAUGUUUGGGACCAGUACUUUGUUCCUGGAUCGUAACACGAGUAGGAAGGGGGCUGCCCAAGAGCCCCAGAGAAUGCUGUGAGGUGGGCAUCGGUACUGGUAGCUUGGAACCGGUACUAUUGGCCCAAUCACAAGCGCUCAACUGUGGUGGAGGACGUCCAAGCGUCCUGGAGGGGACUGUGGGAUGAUCUUGAGCCCGGAACGAGACUGGGAAUCUCGGAGUACGGGCUUGAGAAAGGUUUGAUCACAAAUGUCCCGUAGAUAGUUAGACCGGGUAUCGGUAUUGGAUGUUUGGGACCAGUACUUUGUUCCUGGAUCGUAACACGAGUAGGAAGGGGGCUGCCCAAGAGCCCCAGAGAAUGCUGUGAGGUGGGCAUCGGUACUGGUAGCUUGGAACCGGUACUAUUGGCCCAAUCACAAGCGCUCAACUGUGGUGGAGGACGUCCAAGCGUCCUGGAGGGGACUGUGGGAUGAUCUUGAGCCCGGAACGAGACUGGGAAUCUCGGAGUACGGGCUUGAGAAAGGUUUGAUCACAAAUGUCCCAGAGAUAGUUAGACCGGGUAUCGGUAUUGGAUGUUUGGGACCAGUGCUUUGUUCCUGGAUCGUAACACGAGUAGGAAGGGGGCUGCCCAAGAGCCCCAGAGAAUGCUGUGAGGUGGGCAUCGGUACUGGUAGCUUGGAACCGGUACUAUUGGCCCAAUCACAAGCGCUCAACUGUGGUGGAGGACGUCCAAGCGUCCUGGAGGGGACUGUGGAUGAUCUUGAGCCCGGAACGAGACUGGGAAUCUCGGAGUACGGGCUUGAGAAAGGUUUGAUCACAAAUGUUCCGUAGAUAGUUAGACCGGGUAUCGGUAUUGGAUGUUUGGGACCAGUACUUUGUUCCUGGAUCGUAACACGAGUAGGAAGGGGGCUGCCCAAGAGCCCCAGAGAAUGCUGUGAGGUGGGCAUCGGUACUGGUAGCUUGGAACCGGUACUAUUGGCCCAAUCACAAGCGCUCAACUGUGGUGAGGGACGUCCAAGCGUCCUGGAGGGGACUGUGGAUGAUCUUGAGCCCGGAACGAGACUGGGAAUCUCGGAGUACGGGCUUGAGAAAGGUUUGAUCACAAAUGUCCCAGAGAUAGUUAGACCGGGUAUCGGUAUUGGAUGUUUGGGACCAGUGCUUUGUUCCUGGAUCGUAACACGAGUAGGAAGGGGGCUGCCCAAGAGCCCCAGAGAAUGCUGUGAGGUGGGCAUCGGUACUGGUAGCUUGGAACCGGUACUAUUGGCCCAAUCACAAGUGCUCAACUGUGGUGGAGGACGUCCAAGCGUCCUGGAGGGGACUGUGGAUGAUCUUGAGCCCGGAACGAGACUGGGAAUCUCGGAGUACGGGCUUGAGAAAGGUUUGAUCACAAAUGUCCCGUAGAUAGUUAGACCGGGUAUCGGUAUUGGAUGUUUGGGACCAGUACUUUGUUCCUGGAUCGUAACACGAGUAGGAAGGGGGCUGCCCAAGAGCCCCAGAGAAUGCUGUGAGGUGGGCAUCGGUACUGGUAGCUUGGAACCGGUACUAUUGGCCCAAUCACAAGCGCUCAACUGUGGUGAGGGACGUCCAAGCGUCCUGGAGGGGACUGUGGGAUGAUCUUGAGCCCGGAACGAGACUGGGAAUCUCGGAGUACGGGCUUGAGAAAGGUUUGAUCACAAAUGUCCCAGAGAUAGUUAGACCGGGUAUCGGUAUUGGAUGUUUGGGACCAGUGCUUUGUUCCUGGAUCGUAACACGAGUAGGAAGGGGGCUGCCCAAGAGCCCCAGAGAAUGCUGUGAGGUGGGCAUCGGUACUGGUAGCUUGGAACCGGUACUAUUGGCCCAAUCACAAGUGCUCAACUGUGGUGGAGGACGUCCAAGCGUCCUGGAGGGGACUGUGGAUGAUCUUGAGCCCGGAACGAGACUGGGAAUCUCGGAGUACGGGCUUGAGAAAGGUUUGAUCACAAAUGUCCCGUAGAUAGUUAGACCGGGUAUCGGUAUUGGAUGUUUGGGACCAGUACUUUGUUCCUGGAUCGUAACACGAGUAGGAAGGGGGCUGCCCAAGAGCCCCAGAGAAUGCUGUGAGGUGGGCAUCGGUACUGGUAGCUUGGAACCGGUACUAUUGGCCCAAUCACAAGCGCUCAACUGUGGUGAGGGACGUCCAAGCGUCCUGGAGGGGACUGUGGGAUGAUCUUGAGCCCGGAACGAGACUGGGAAUCUCGGAGUACGGGCUUGAGAAAGGUUUGAUCACAAAUGUCCCAGAGAUAGUUAGACCGGGUAUCGGUAUUGGAUGUUUGGGACCAGUGCUUUGUUCCUGGAUCGUAACAUGAGUAGGAAGGGGGCUGCCCAAGAGCCCCAGAGAAUGCUGUGAGGUGGGCAUCGGUACUGGUAGCUUGGAACCGGUACUAUUGGCCCAAUCACAAGCGCUCAACUGUGGUGGAGGACGUCCAAGCGUCCUGGAGGGGACUGUGAGAUGAUCUUGAGCCCGGAACGAGACUGGGAAUCUCGGAGUACGGGCUUGAGAAAGGUUUGAUCACAAAUGUCCCAGAGAUAGUUAGACCAGGUAUCGGUAUUGGAUGUUUGGGACCAGUGCUUUGUUCCUGGAUCGUAACACGAGUAGGAAGGGGGCUGCCCAAGAGCCCCAGAGAAUGCUGUGAGGUGGGCAUCGGUACUGGUAGCUUGGAACCGGUACUAUUGGCCCAAUCACAAGCGCUCAACUGUGGUGAGGGACGUCCAAGCGUCCUGGAGGGGACUGUGGGAUGAUCUUGAGCCCGGAACGAGACUGGGAAUCUCGGAGUUCGGGCUUGAGAAUGCUACCCUACCUAUAGUUUGCUCUGAAGUGGGCAUCGGUACUGGUGGCUUGGAUCUGGUACUAUUGGCCCAAUCAGGAGGAUUUAGUAAGGAGAGAUUUCCAAGCGUCUAAAAGGGGAACAGUGUUUUUGUGUUGCAGUGCUUGUUUUCGUUACUGGUACUGUGGACACGGAAACUGUAUUCCAGUAACCGGGAAAAAGGUUGGUGUUUACCUUAUACCUGGAGUUACUCAGUUUGAGUUCAAAAAAUAUAACACAAUUAUAAAAAAUACAAAAAAAGAAGAGAUGGCAGGAGUAGAGGACGAAAAGAAAAAUAAUUAAUUAGGUUUCACAUGUGAGUAAAUGUUUGACGCAGAAAGUACAAAUACAAUGUAAAAGAUAGUUAUAAUAUAUUUUACAAAUCAUUCCGUUGCAAAUUCACAUCAAUGUUAACAAGUAUAAAAAUCAUCAAAUGACGAUGUAUUAGAUGAUUGGCGGUGUUCUCGUAAAUCCAGCGUUUGCCUAUUCCGUUGUUCUCGUAAAUUUAAAUUCAUCGCAAGUUGAUUAUGAUUUAGGAGUAUUUUCCCAUCAGACAUUAAGUGCCAUCAAGUACCAGAUUAUACCUCAUUUACUUUUUACAAAAGUUCUAGCAUAUAUCAAAACCAACACAUAACUAAGCGAAUAUGGAAGUAAGUUGCACGAGCCACAUGAACUGUUGUUCAUAAAUACUGAUAGAGUUUCAAAAAUCAAUUAAAGUAUAGGGAAAAUAGUAAUGUGAUAAUGAAAGCAAUUCGGUUCAAACAAGAAGUUUGUAAAUCAAUAUUGAAGAUUAGAAAAUAAUUAAGUAUCAAAGAUCAUGUUGCUGGUGAUACAGUUUGCAGCAGAAAGGCCUGAUAGAAACUUGUUGAAAUAACAACCGUACACAUUUUGAGCAGAGAAAAACCAUCAUCGAUCUCCCGGAUUUGUGCUAGGUUUCCCAACUGAUUUCUCUAUAGAUUCUGACCAUGUUUUUAAGUGAAACAUAACAUUAGAGUCUUAUACAAUAGAGACAUAUAUAAUGGGCCGGUCCCGCGAACCAGUCGUCAACUCGUACGUUUCAAUGGUAUGCUUGUGAUGGGUUCAAGCCUAGAAUGGACCCCGGUGUUCCCCCGGUGGCAACGACCAACUAUUCGACUAAGUGGUACCUGUAUAAGCCUUGAAAACCUAUAUAAUCCAGCGUGUCCGCAUAGAACGCUACGCCAAAUGGAGGAAGAAGAAGAACAAUAGAGCAAAGAAACAGAGCAUGAAUGUCAACUACAAUCGCGCCAACAUGGGUGCUGGUGGAUAUGGUGCAUCGAAUGUUAUGAAUGAAUCGAUCGAAAGUCGUUGGACAGUUGCGGAGCUGCGAUGAACUCGAGUGAUCUUGUAGCAGAAUAACAAGCCAAUUGGAUUCGAAAACGAAAUCCAGACUUUGCUUCAUAAACGAUGACGAAGUAGUAAUACAUGAACAUACAUACAUGAACAUCACCCAGCAUCGUAUUGUAAGCGGAAAGGGGAAUGAUGAUGGUUUUUUCGAAACAGCAAACUAAUGCUCACAUCACAUGCAUUUAAAGAAUGACAACAUUGGGUACUCAUCAUGGUAUGACAGUUUUGGAUGAACUUUGUUCGUUGGACUUGUUCACUAUAAGACCAACUAACUGACUGAAAUUUCUGCUGUGCCCCAUGAGCUCAAGAUGGAGUAAUACCCUAUAGCGGAGCCUUCCGCCGGCAUAUUAUUCUCAACGGCCACAAAGACUGGCCACGCAGUAUUGCUAUCACCGGCUAUGAUCGAUGCCUAAUAACUUCAACAAUCUUUGGUCAACAUGUUGAACUUCGGGAAACAAAUGUUGAAAUAGUUGCGCUUUGAGUUUAGAAUUCGUCAAAAAAGAUUCCUUUGAUUAUCAAAAAACCUUUCAUACCCAACAUCAGUUAACAGAACAGAAAAUACGGAACGAUGAAGAGUGGAAUAUUUUAUCGUUAGACAACAACAUACCAUUUUUAGAGAACAUAGACAGGAAUAGUUUGAGUUUGAAUAAAAUACGAUACUAUAUACAGGAUAUACGAACACGUCCAAAUAAUUGCAGGCAUCCAAAUUCAUUUUCAGACAUAAAAUGUGUAGGUUACACAAAAAUGUAUUUCCGUGAUUUGUAAUAAAACUGGAUUGAAAACAAGA